UACGUAGGGGCCUAGCGUUGUCCGGAAUUAUUGGGCGUAAAGAGCUCGUAGGCGGUUCGGCAAGUCGGAUGUGAAAUCUCCACGCUUAACGUGGAGGGGGCAUUCGAAACUGCUGUGACUCGAGUCCGGUAGGGGAGUGUGGAAUUCCCGGUGUAGCGGUGAAAUGCGCAGAUAUCGGGAGGAACACCAGUAGCGAAGGCGGCACUCUGGGCCGGAACUGACGCUGAGGAGCGAAAGCGUGGGGAGCGAACAGG
This 254-nucleotide ribosomal RNA is filed under the name uncultured bacterium. RNAcentral's name for it is "partial 16S ribosomal RNA". It matches the Rfam family "Bacterial small subunit ribosomal RNA", at positions 524 to 776 of the family's 1533-position model. The record is from RNAcentral.